This 325-nucleotide ribosomal RNA is filed under the name uncultured eukaryote. RNAcentral's name for it is "partial 18S ribosomal RNA". It matches the Rfam family "Eukaryotic small subunit ribosomal RNA", at positions 1470 to 1796 of the family's 1831-position model. The record is from RNAcentral.
CCCUUAGAUGUUCUGGGCUGCACGCGUGCUACACUGAUGCAUUCAGCAAGUAUACUUCCUUUGCCGAGAGGCCUGGGCAAUCUUGUAAACAUGCAUCGUGAUAGGGAUAGAUUUUUGCAAUUAUUAAUCUUUAACGAGGAAUUCCUAGUAAACGCAGAUCAUCAAUCUGCAUUGAUUACGUCCCUGCCCUUUGUACACACUGCCCGUCGCACCUACCGAUUGAAUGGUCCGGUGAAGCCUCGGGAUUAUGAACAAUGCCUUUGUUGGCAUUGUUUGUGAGAACUUGUCUAAACCUUAUCAUUUAGAGGAAGGUGAANUCGUAACA